RNAcentral lists this long non-coding RNA (1665 nucleotides) under Homo sapiens (human). RNAcentral describes it as "HSALNT0347874". The record is from RNAcentral. Lineage: Eukaryota; Metazoa; Chordata; Mammalia; Primates; Hominidae.
CCCAGAACUUGCCAGUCAAGAUGAAAAACUUCUUCUAAUGGAAUCCAGCUUGAAAGCUACUCAAGAGCAGCUAACUGAGCAAAUAGCAGAAACAGUUCGCCAAGAACAGAACAGUAGAAAACCCCAGGCAGAGCUGAAGACAGUGACAGAAGGGAUUAUUGCUUCUGAAGAAGAAAAAAAAUGAUUACAAGAUAUGCUUCAGCCAAAUAUAUUGGGCUUACUCUAAGAAAUAGUAACACGUCAUGAAAUUUUUCUUGAAAAUAAAUACGAGCCUCAGCAUGUCGAUUCUGUACAGAUUUGCAAGUGUAGACCAAGGACUAUUAGCACAAAUGACAAGAAAUAUCUAAGAAAAUCUCAUGAAUGUUCAUUAAGAAACAUGGUCACAUAGGUCUUCUCAUCUUUUGAAUAAAUAAAGCAUAUGAAAAACUGAUAUGUCAGCCACACGAGUCAACAACACUCUAACCAGAAAAACUGUAUAUAGCCUUCGCAUGUACUGAUUACACAAAACAAAUACUACCAAAAUUUGCAUGUGACUAGUAUGUAAACAUUUUAUCGGUUUUUCUUUUCCAAAUGACAUAAUUACAUUGUAUUUUGAAACCAGAUUAAAGUAUAUUACCCAUGAUGGUAUCUUUGCAAAAACAGUUGUCUUAAAUUGGAUUCUGAGAUAGAGAGUUGUGUGUAGGUCUGUAGGGAGUGUUCUUGGGAAAUACAGGAAGGUGGGACUGGGGAGGGGUGGGUCCAGCUAACUCCAAUCUUGAUGCCACAAAAGCAUCAACUGAUCCCUAGAGGAGCUCUGGAGAUGUCUCAAAUUGAGGAAAAGAGACACAGCCAUUAUAUCUCCAUGUCAGCCAGGCUUUGGCUCCUGAAAGGGGUCAUAAUCUUGCAUGAUUCCCAGUGAGGGGUCUCAAAUGGGAGACGUCAGCCAUUUAUGAACAUUCCUAGCAGCUGGAGGAUGGAUGCUGAUCCCUACAGAGGGGAUUUGGUGGAGCACUACAUUGUUCUCUAUAAUCAUACACCAUUAUGAAAUAUAUAAUCUAAUUUAGAGGAAAUUCUGUCACUUCAAAUGCAAAUUCAUUGCACAUAUCAACUUUUUUUAAUCUUCAAAGUGCAUGUCUCAUUUACUUAGAUUUCUACCAUAAAAAGAUUUGUCUAAAAAUGUUAACUAUUAAACACUCUCACCUAUUAGUAAUAAAACAACUUAGGAAAUUAAUAAUUAAGAAAUAAAACAGAUGCUAAAUGGACAAAACAGAUAGCAUAAUAACAAAAAUGUAAAGGAGCAGACAAUUUCAUAAAGUGCUUUCACUUAAUAAAAUAUUAUUUCAUUUGGUACUCAAACAAAAUACAGAAUUUAUAUAGUAAUUUCCAUUUUGAUAAUGAAGACAUUGAAGCACAAGAAGAUAAGGCAACUUAACCAAGGUAAGUGACAGGAACUUGAAUUAAACCAUCUAUUUUGAUAUCAGAUAACCAUGGGAAGUAAUAAUUCCUUUGAUACAUAGUAUUGAGGCAGAGGCAGGGCCAGUUGUAUCAGGAGCCAAAUCUCUAAGUUUCUAGGUAGUGUGUUUCAACCUGUUGAAUGUGAACACAUUUUUAAUGAAUGCAUAUUCAGCUUAAAUGUGAAAACCAUAAAAUCUAAGUCUAUCAAUAUUUUUUAAAAUGUCUUAAAUA